UACGUAGGGUGCAAGCGUUAUCCGGAAUUAUUGGGCGUAAAGAGCUCGUAGGCGGUUUGUCGCGUCUGCUGUGAAAACUGGAGGCUCAACCUCCAGCCUGCAGUGGGUACGGGCAGACUAGAGUGCGGUAGGGGAGAUUGGAAUUCCUGGUGUAGCGGUGGAAUGCGCAGAUAUCAGGAGGAACACCGAUGGCGAAGGCAGAUCUCUGGGCCGUAACUGACGCUGAGGGGCGAAAGCAUGGGGAGCGAACAGG
Molecule: ribosomal RNA, 253 nt
Filed under: uncultured bacterium
Lineage: Bacteria
Description: partial 16S ribosomal RNA
Rfam family: Bacterial small subunit ribosomal RNA
Source: RNAcentral